GGUUCCGGGUUCAGUCCCACUGCGUGACACCUUGGAAAGCACAGAACUGGGAGAAAAGCAAAAUGAACUGAGGUGGAUGUCAACAGAGAAAAUAUUGACUUCCAUAAAGUGGAAAAAAUAUAUGGAAGGAAAAACGUUGGUAAAUAUGUCGGUGUGAACGCCAAUAGCUGUUACGUGGUAGCAGGGCAUGCUAGAAAUAACGGCCAAAUCUUUCCUUUUCUGGAAAAAAGAACCGUUUACGCGUGAUUUCGAUGUCACAUUCGUUGAAAGCAUUCAAAAUAUCCUGGAAAAAAAAAUAAAACCGCGAAACAAAACUCCCUUAAUGGGAAAUUUCGAGGUCCCCACCACCCCUCCCACCUUUCUUUUCCGGAAAAAAGGUGACUUGCGGCGGGUUUGGCGGUCAGAUACGUUGAAUGCACUU
This is a long non-coding RNA of Octopus sinensis (East Asian common octopus), 421 nucleotides long. RefSeq lists it as uncharacterized. The record is from RefSeq and is a predicted model, not a curated record. The transcript has 2 exons. Lineage: Eukaryota; Metazoa; Mollusca; Cephalopoda; Octopoda; Octopodidae.